RNAcentral lists this ribosomal RNA (245 nucleotides) under Trachymyrmex cornetzi. RNAcentral's name for it is "partial large subunit ribosomal RNA". The record is from RNAcentral. Lineage: Eukaryota; Metazoa; Arthropoda; Insecta; Hymenoptera; Formicidae.
GAAUUUUAUAUAAUAAUUUAUUAAUAAAGUAGGGAGAUUAAUUUGGAUAAAAUAAAUAAGUUAAUUAUAUUUAAUUGGGAGGAUUAUUAAAUUUAUUUAACUUUAAUAAAAUAUAUAUGUAAAAUUUAAUAAUAUAGAUUAGUAAAUUUUAUGAAUAAUAUAAUUAUAAUAUUAAUGUAAAAUUAAUUACCUUAGGGAUAACAGCGUAAUAGUUUUGGAAAGAUCAUAUUAAUAAAAUUGAUUGC